RNAcentral lists this unclassified non-coding RNA (379 nucleotides) under plant metagenome. RNAcentral's name for it is "partial contains 5.8S ribosomal RNA, internal transcribed spacer 2, and large subunit ribosomal RNA". The stretch from base 1 to 105 matches the Rfam family "5.8S ribosomal RNA", at positions 50 to 154 of the family's 154-position model. The record is from RNAcentral.
GAAAUGCGAUAAGUAAUGUGAAUUGCAGAAUUCAGUGAAUCAUCGAAUCUUUGAACGCACCUUGCGCUCCUUGGUAUUCCUUGGAGCAUGCCUGUUUGAGUAUCAUGAAAUCUUCAAAGUAAAUCUUUUGUUAACUCAAUUGGUUUCUACUUUGGUAUUGGAGGUCUUUGCAGCUUCACACCUGCUCCUCUUUGUUCAUUAGCUGGAUCUCAGUGUUAUGCUUGGUUCCACUCGGCGUGAUAAGUUAUCUAUCGCUGAUGACACUGUAAAAGGUGGCCAAGGUAAAUGCAGAUGAACCGCUUCUAAUAGUCCAUUGACUUGGACAAUACUUUUAUGAUCUGAUCUCAAAUCAGGUAGGACUACCCGCUGAACUUAAGAA